This 613-nucleotide unclassified non-coding RNA is filed under the name uncultured Fusarium. Its description in RNAcentral is "sequence contains ITS1, 5.8S rRNA gene". It matches the Rfam family "Eukaryotic small subunit ribosomal RNA", at positions 60 to 653 of the family's 1831-position model. The record is from RNAcentral. Lineage: Eukaryota; Fungi; Ascomycota; Sordariomycetes; Hypocreales; Nectriaceae.
UAAAUUCAAUUCGCCCUAUAGUGAGUCGUAUUAAGAAGCAAUUAUACGGCGAAACUGCGAAUGGCUCAUUAUAUAAGUUAUCGUUUAUUUGAUAGUACCUUACCACUUGGAUAACCGUGGUAAUUCUAGAGCUAAUACAUGCUAAAAAUCCCGACUUCGGAAGGGAUGUAUUUAUUAGAUUAAAAACCAAUGCCCUUCGGGGCUCACUGGUGAUUCAUGAUAACUCCUCGAAUCGCAUGGCCUUGUGCCGGCGAUGGUUCAUUCAAAUUUCUUCCCUAUCAACUUUCGAUGUUUGGGUAUUGGCCAAACAUGGUUGCAACGGGUAACGGAGGGUUAGGGCUCGACCCCGGAGAAGGAGCCUGAGAAACGGCUACUACAUCCAAGGAAGGCAGCAGGCGCGCAAAUUACCCAAUCCCGACUCGGGGAGGUAGUGACAAUAAAUACUGAUACAGGGCUCUAUUGGGUCUUGUAAUUGGAAUGAGUACAAUUUAAUCCCUUAGCGAGGAAAAUUGGAGGGAAGUCUGGUGCCAGCAGCCGCGGUAAUUCCAGCUCCAAUAGCGUAUAUUAAAGUUGUUGUGGUUAAAAACUCGUAGGUGAACCUGCAGAAGGAUCA